Molecule: ribosomal RNA, 313 nt
Filed under: uncultured bacterium
Lineage: Bacteria
Description: bacterial SSU rRNA
Rfam family: Bacterial small subunit ribosomal RNA
Source: RNAcentral
AUUGAACGCUGGCGGCAGGCCUAACACAUGCAAGUCGAGCGGUAACAUUUCAAAAGCUUGCUUUUGAAGAUGACGAGCGGCGGACGGGUGAGUAAUGCCUGGGAAUUUGCCCAUUUGUGGGGGAUAACAGUUGGAAACGACUGCUAAUACCGCAUACGCCCUACGGGGGAAAGGCAGGGGACCUUCGGGCCUUGCGCGAUUGAAUGAGCCGAUGUUGGAUUAGCUAGUUGGCGGGGUAAAGGCCCACCAAGGCGACGAUCCGUAGCUGGUCUGAGAGGAUGAUCAGCCACACUGGAACUGAGACACGGUCCAG